GACGAACGCUGGCGGCGCGCCUAACACAUGCAAGUCGAACGAGCGAGAGAGAGCUUGCUUUCUUGAGCGAUUGGCGAACGGGUGAGUAACACGUGAGGAACCUGCCUCUAAGAGGGGGACAACAGUUCGAAACGACUGCUAAUACCGCAUAAGCUCACGUCCCGGCAUUGGGUCGAGGGAAAAGGAGCUACACGCUCUGAGAUGGCGUCGCGUCCGAUCAGCUAGAUGGAGUGGUAACGGCCCAUCAAGGCGACGAUCGGUAUACGGACUGAGAGGCUGAGCGGCCACAUUGGGACUGGGACACAGCCGAGACUCCUACGGGAGGCAGGAGUGGGGAAUAGUGCAAAAUGGGGGGAACCCUGAUGCAGCUACGCCGGGUGGAGGAUGAAGGUAUUCAGAUUGUAAUCUCCUGUUGUUGGGGAAGAUAAUGACGGUACUCAACAAGGAAGUGACGGCUAACUACGUG
Molecule: ribosomal RNA, 466 nt
Filed under: uncultured bacterium
Lineage: Bacteria
Description: partial 16S ribosomal RNA
Rfam family: Bacterial small subunit ribosomal RNA
Source: RNAcentral